Molecule: ribosomal RNA, 465 nt
Filed under: uncultured bacterium
Lineage: Bacteria
Description: bacterial SSU rRNA
Rfam family: Bacterial small subunit ribosomal RNA
Source: RNAcentral
CCAGACUCCUACGGGAGGCAGCAGUGAGGAAUAUUGGUCAAUGGGCGAGAGCCUGAACCAGCCAAGUCGCGUGAGGGAAGACGGUCCUAUGGGUUGUAAACCUCUUUUGUCAGGGAACAAAGGCGGGGACGUGUCCCCGGAUGAGUGUACCUGAAGAAAAAGCAUCGGCUAACUCCGUGCCAGCAGCCGCGGUAAUACGGAGGAUGCGAGCGUUAUCCGGAUUUAUUGGGUUUAAAGGGUGCGCAGGCGGAGGUGCAAGUCAGCGGUCAAAUUGCGGGGCUCAACCCCGUACUGCCGUUGAAACUGCAUCCCUUGAGUGCGCGAGAAGUAUGCGGAAUGCGUGGUGUAGCGGUGAAAUGCAUAGAUAUCACGCAGAACUCCGAUUGCGAAGGCAGCAUACCGGCGCGCAACUGACGCUCAUGCACGAAAGCGUGGGUAUCGAACAGGAUUAGAUACCCUUGUACC